AAGUCCAACGGUAACAGGAAGCAGCUUGCUGCUUCGCUGACGAGUGGCGGACGGGUGAGUAAUGUCUGGGAAACUGCCUGAUGGAGGGGGAUAACUACUGGAAACGGUGGCUAAUACCGCAUAACGUCGCAAGACCAAAGAGGGGGACCUUCGGGCCUCUUGCCAUCAGAUGUGCCCAGAUGGGAUUAGCUAGUUGGUGAGGUAACGGCUCACCAAGGCGACGAUCCCUAGCUGGUCUGAGAGGAUGACCAGCCACACUGGAACUGAGACACGGUCCAGACUCCUACGGGAGGCAGCAGUGGGGAAUAUUGCACAAUGGGCGCAAGCCUAAUGCAGCCAUGCCGCGUGUAUGAAGAAGGCCUUCGGGUUGUAAAGUACUUUCAGC
Molecule: ribosomal RNA, 385 nt
Filed under: Salmonella enterica
Lineage: Bacteria; Pseudomonadati; Pseudomonadota; Gammaproteobacteria; Enterobacterales; Enterobacteriaceae
Description: bacterial SSU rRNA
Rfam family: Bacterial small subunit ribosomal RNA
Source: RNAcentral